AGAGUUUGAUCAUGGCUCAGACUGAAGCUAAAGGCAGGCCUAACACAUGCAAGUCGAGCGGGGUUUUCCUUGUACCUAGCGGCGGACGGGUGAGUAAUGCGUAGGAAGCUACCCGAUAGAGGGGGAUACCAGUUGGAAACGACUGUUAAUACCGCAUAAUGUCUACGGACCAAAGUGUGGGACCUUCGGGCCACAUGCUAUCGGAUGCGCCUACGUGGGAUUAGCUAGUUGGUGAGGUAAUGGCUCACCAAGGCGACGAUCUCUAGCUGGUUUGAGAGGAUGAUCAGCCACACUGGAACUGAGACACGGUCCAGACUCCUACGGGAGGCAGCAGUGGGGAAUAUUGGACAAUGGGCGCAAGCCUGAUCCAGCCAUGCCGCGUGUGUGAAGAAGGCCUUCGGGUUGUAAGGCACUUUCAGCGAGGAGGAAGAGUUGUGUGUUAAUAGUACACAGCUUUGACGUUACUCGCAGAAGAAGCACCGGCUAACUCUGUGCCAGCAGCCGCGGUAAUACAGAGGGUGCAAGCGUUAAUCGGAAUUACUGGGCGUAAAGCGCACGUAGGCGGUUUUUUAAGUCAGAUGUGAAAGCCCCGGGCUCAACCUGGGAAUUGCAUUUGAAACUGGAAAACUAGAGUGUGUGAGAGGGGGGUAGAAUUCCAAGUGUAGCGGUGAAAUGCGUAGAGAUUUGGAGGAAUACCAGU
This 700-nucleotide ribosomal RNA is filed under the name uncultured bacterium. RNAcentral describes it as "bacterial SSU rRNA". It matches the Rfam family "Bacterial small subunit ribosomal RNA", at positions 8 to 713 of the family's 1533-position model. The record is from RNAcentral.